Molecule: ribosomal RNA, 735 nt
Filed under: Alkalibacillus almallahensis
Lineage: Bacteria; Bacillati; Bacillota; Bacilli; Caryophanales; Bacillaceae
Description: bacterial SSU rRNA
Rfam family: Bacterial small subunit ribosomal RNA
Source: RNAcentral
GGCUCUCUGGUCUGUAACUGACGCUGAGGCGCGAAAGCAUGGGUAGCGAACAGGAUUAGAUACCCUGGUAGUCCAUGCCGUAAACGUUGAGUGCUAGGUGUUAGGGGGUCCAACCCUUAGUGCUGCAGUUAACGCAAUAAGCACUCCGCCUGGGGAGUACGGCCGCAAGGCUGAAACUCAAAGGAAUUGACGGGGGCCUGCACAAGCGGUGGAGCAUGUGGUUUAAUUCGACGCAACGCGAAGAACCUUACCAGGUCUUGACAUCUUCGGACAGCCCAAGAGAUUGGGUCUUCCCUUCGGGGACCGAAUGACAGGUGGUGCAUGGUUGUCGUCAGCUCGUGUCGUGAGAUGUUGGGUUAAGUCCCGUAACGAGCGCAACCCCUGAUCUUAGUUGCCAGCAUUCAGUUGGGCACUCUAGGAUGACUGCCGGUGACAAACCGGAGGAAGGCGGGGAUGACGUCAAAUCAUCAUGCCCCUUAUGACCUGGGCUACACACGUGCUACAAUGGAUGGUACAAAGGGAAGCCAAACCGCGAGGUCGAGCUAAUCCCAUAAAGCCAUUCUCAGUUCGGAUUGUAGGCUGCAACUCGCCUGCAUGAAGCCGGAAUCGCUAGUAAUCGCGGAUCAGAAUGCCGCGGUGAAUACGUUCCCAGGCCUUGUACACACCGCCCGUCACACCACGAGAGUUGGCAACACCCGAAGUCGGUGGGGUAACCUUCACGGAGCCAGCCGCCGA